This 410-nucleotide ribosomal RNA is filed under the name Streptomyces sp. 503(2010). RNAcentral's name for it is "bacterial SSU rRNA". It matches the Rfam family "Bacterial small subunit ribosomal RNA", at positions 36 to 452 of the family's 1533-position model. The record is from RNAcentral. Lineage: Bacteria; Bacillati; Actinomycetota; Actinomycetes; Kitasatosporales; Streptomycetaceae.
UCCUGGGGGGGCUUACCAUGCAGUCGAACGAUGAACCACUUCGGUGGGGAUUAGUGGCGAACGGGUGAGUAACACGUGGGCAAUCUGCCCUGCACUCUGGGACAAGCCCUGGAAACGGGGUCUAAUACCGGAUACUGACCCGCUUGGGCAUCCAAGCGGUUCGAAAGCUCCGGCGGUGCAGGAUGAGCCCGCGGCCUAUCAGCUUGUUGGUGAGGUAAUGGCUCACCAAGGCGACGACGGGUAGCCGGCCUGAGAGGGCGACCGGCCACACUGGGACUGAGACACGGCCCAGACUCCUACGGGAGGCAGCAGUGGGGAAUAUUGCACAAUGGGCGAAAGCCUGAUGCAGCGACGCCGCGUGAGGGAUGACGGCCUUCGGGUUGUAAACCUCUUUCAGCAGGGAAGAAGCG